CGGGGGGAGCAAGCGUUGUUCGGAUUUACUGGGCGUAAAGGGCGCGUAGGCGGCGCAACAAGUCACUUGUGAAAUCUCCGGGCUUAACCCGGAGCGGCCAAGUGAUACUGUCGUGCUAGAGUGCGGAAGGGGCUGCUGGAAUUCUCGGUGUAGCGGUGAAAUGCGUAGAUAUCGAGAGGAACACCUGCGGCGAAGGCGGGUAGCUGGGCCGACACUGACGCUGAGGCGCGAAAGCCAGGGGAGCGAACGGGAUUAGAUACCCUGGUAGUCCUGGCCUUAAACGAUGGAUACUUGGUGUCCGGGGUUACAUAGUCCCCGGGUGCCGGCGCUAACGCAUUAAGUAUCCCGCCUGGGGAGUACGGUCGCAAGACUG
RNAcentral lists this ribosomal RNA (373 nucleotides) under uncultured organism. RNAcentral describes it as "bacterial SSU rRNA". It matches the Rfam family "Bacterial small subunit ribosomal RNA", at positions 526 to 896 of the family's 1533-position model. The record is from RNAcentral.